Non-coding RNA from Pelobates cultripes (western spadefoot toad), 414 nucleotides. The record is from the annotation of a GenBank genome assembly. NCBI's taxonomy places the organism in Eukaryota, Metazoa, Chordata, Amphibia, Anura, Pelobatidae.
GUUUUUUGCCCCAUGAAGUCACCAGUACAACUGACUGAAUGGUAUUACUUUGCUAUAAUGAACACUUUGCAAUGAUGACAACCCCCGUUAUAUUUCUAUCAAUCAUGGUUUAUAAAGACAUAUGUUAAAGGGACACCAUAGUCACCAGAACCACUACAACUAAAUGUAGUUGUUCUGGUGAGUAGAAUAAUUCCCUUCAGGCUUUUUGCAGUAAACACUGUCUUUUCAAAAAACAUCACCCCCUAGGGACAUCUCCAAUAGCCACUCCUCAGACUGGCACCAGAGGUACUUCCUGGGGCAGUGCUGCAUAGUGUGAAACACUGCCGUUCAGCAUCUCCAUGCUCUGCAAAAUCAUAAAUUCUGAUGUCACCAAGGAGGUGGAUCGGGCCAGCGCCGGCAGACGCUGGAUAUAAG